UAAUAAGUGUUUUAUGGCACUUUUUAAAUCCAUAUCCACCUUGUGUGCAAUGUCAGUCGAUCUUCUUCAUGGAGAUCGACCAAACAUCAACCUUUAUCUUAAUCUUUGUCUGAAACAUAUUAUGAAUAACUUAAUUCAAAAUA
Molecule: unclassified non-coding RNA, 143 nt
Filed under: soil metagenome
Description: partial internal transcribed spacer 1
Source: RNAcentral